UACAGAGGGUGCAAGCGUUGUUCGGAAUUAUUGGGCGUAAAGAGCUCGUAGGCGGCUCAGUAAGUCAGGUGUGAAACCUCCAGGCUCAACCUGGAGACGCCACCUGAUACUGCUGUGGCUAGAGUCCGGUAGGGGAGCGUGGAAUUCCUGGUGUAGCGGUGAAAUGCGCAGAUAUCAGGAGGAACACCAGCGGCGAAGGCGGCGCUCUGGGCCGGAACUGACGCUGAGGAGCGAAAGCGUGGGUAGCAAACAGG
This 254-nucleotide ribosomal RNA is filed under the name uncultured bacterium. RNAcentral describes it as "partial 16S ribosomal RNA". It matches the Rfam family "Bacterial small subunit ribosomal RNA", at positions 524 to 776 of the family's 1533-position model. The record is from RNAcentral.